UUGCAUUUUCUUAAUAAAGUUUAUUUUGCACCCCACCAGUGCAGUAAUUGCCCCAAGAUCCCCUACCUGCUGGCAGGGACAAGUAGGAGGAUGAGUUAAAGUGCUUUUUCCUGAGUGUAAAGCAAGUAAGCAGUAUUGCUUUGAUGCAGUUGUCUGUUAUUGAUGAUUUUUCUUUCUUCUCUCUGGGGAAGUAGAAGGGAAAGAACACAGACUGAGUGGU
Small nucleolar RNA from Mauremys reevesii (Reeves's turtle), 220 nucleotides. RefSeq annotates it as small nucleolar RNA U3. Lineage: Eukaryota; Metazoa; Chordata; Testudines; Geoemydidae. The transcript has a single exon. The record is from RefSeq and is a predicted model, not a curated record.